GACGAACGCUGGCGGCGUGCUUAACACAUGCAAGUCGAACGAAGAGCGAUGGAAGCUUGCUUCUAUCAAUCUUAGUGGCGAACGGGUGAGUAACGCGUAAUCAACCUGCCCUUCAGAGGGGGACAACAGUUGGAAACGACUGCUAAUACCGCAUACGAUCUAAUCUCGGCAUCGAGGAUAGAUGAAAGGUGGCCUCUACAUGUAAGCUAUCACUGAAGGAGGGGAUUGCGUCUGAUUAGCUAGUUGGAGGGGUAACGGCCCACCAAGGCGAUGAUCAGUAGCCGGUCGGAGGGGAUGAACGGCCACAUUGGGACUGAGACACGGCCCAGACUCCUACGGGAGGCAGCAGUGGGGAAUCUUCCGCAAUGGACGAAAGUCUGACGGAGCAACGCCGCGUGAGUGAUGACGGCCUUCGGGUUGUAAAGCUCUGUUAAUCGGGACGAAAGGCCUUCUUGCGAAUAGUGAGAAGGAUUGACGGUACCGGAAUAGAAAGCCACGGCUAACUACGUG
Molecule: ribosomal RNA, 510 nt
Filed under: uncultured bacterium
Lineage: Bacteria
Description: partial 16S ribosomal RNA
Rfam family: Bacterial small subunit ribosomal RNA
Source: RNAcentral